GCUUUGUGGUGUAAUGGUCAGCACGCUCGACGCGUAUUCGAGAGGUCCGUGGUUCGAGUCCCGGCGAGGGCA
Molecule: transfer RNA, 72 nt
Filed under: Stegodyphus mimosarum
Lineage: Eukaryota; Metazoa; Arthropoda; Arachnida; Araneae; Eresidae
Rfam family: tRNA
About the family: Transfer RNA (tRNA) molecules are approximately 80 nucleotides in length. Their secondary structure includes four short double-helical elements and three loops (D, anti-codon, and T loops).
Source: Rfam by way of RNAcentral